Molecule: ribosomal RNA, 253 nt
Filed under: uncultured bacterium
Lineage: Bacteria
Description: partial 16S ribosomal RNA
Rfam family: Bacterial small subunit ribosomal RNA
Source: RNAcentral
UACGUAGGGUGCGAGCGUUAAUCGGAAUUACUGGGCGUAAAGCGUGCGCAGGCGGUUUUGUAAGCCAGAUGUGAAAGCCCCGGGCUUAACCUGGGAAUGGCAUUUGGGGCUGCAAGGCUUGAGUGCGGCAGAGGAGACUGGAAUUCCUGGUGUAGCAGUGAAAUGCGUAGAUAUCAGGAGGAAUACCGAUGGCGAAGGCAGGUCUCUGGGCUGACACUGACGCUCAUGCACGAAAGCGUGGGGAGCAAACAGG